CCUACGGGGGGCUGCAGUGGGGAAUAUUGGACAAUGGGGGGAACCCUGAUCCAGCCAUGCCGCGUGUGUGAAGAAGGCCCUCGGGUUGUAAAGCACUUUCAGUGAGGAAGAACGCCUGGUGGUUAAUACCCAUCAGGAAAGACAUCACUUACAGAAGAAGCACCGGCUAACUCCGUGCCAGCAGCCGCGGUAAUACGGAGGGUGCGAGCGUUAAUCGGAAUUACUGGGCGUAAAGCGCGCGUAGGUGGCUUGAUAAGCCGGUUGUGAAAGCCCCGGGCUCAACCUGGGAACGGCAUCCGGAACUGUCAAGCUAGAGUGCAGGAGAGGAAGGUAGAAUUCCCGGUGUAGCGGUGAAAUGCGUAGAGAUCGGGAGGAAUACCAGUGGCGAAGGCGGCCUUCUGGACUGACACUGACACUGAGGUGCGAAAGCGUGGGUAGCAAACAGGAUUAGAUACCCUUGUAGUC
This 465-nucleotide ribosomal RNA is filed under the name Vreelandella stevensii. Its description in RNAcentral is "partial 16S ribosomal RNA". It matches the Rfam family "Bacterial small subunit ribosomal RNA", at positions 338 to 795 of the family's 1533-position model. Lineage: Bacteria; Pseudomonadati; Pseudomonadota; Gammaproteobacteria; Oceanospirillales; Halomonadaceae. The record is from RNAcentral.